GCUAUCUUCAAAUCUGCUGGGGCUGUUCAUUAACAUUUCUUUGGGAUGGACUUUGGGCCUAGGGCUUUUCUUGGGACUUCAUUAACAUUUUAAGAGUUGCUCAACUCUUCCGGAAAUUUAUUCUCAACAUGGCCUCCAUUUUAGACUUCACUGGAUAUUAGACCUGAUUUACCUAACUACACUGACUGCCUAAUUUUAAAUCUGGCUUCACUUACAUGAUAUUGAUGGGAUUAUACAUUAGUACAGCCAUUAUGGAAAUAAGUAUGGAGUUUCUUCAAAAGACUAGAAUUUGGAGCCACUAUAUGACCUUGCUGUAUCAUCACCCUGUAUUUUAUCCAGAAGAAAUAAAGACAGCAUAAUAUACCAAUAAAUACAUUCCUAUGUUUAUAGCAACAUAGUUGACAAUAGCCAAACUAUGGAACCAGCCUAGGUGUCCAUCAACAAAUGAAGUAAAUAUACACAAUGGAGUUCUACUCAGCAAUAAAAAAGAACAAAAUUGUGUCAUUUUUAGGAAAAUAGAUGGAACUAGAGAGCAUCACCCUGUUAAAUGAAAUAAGCCAGACUCAGGAAGUCAGGUGUUAUUUUUUCUCAUAAAUGGAAGCUAGAGAGAAAAAAGAAGUCUUAUGAAAAUAGAAGAGAGCUCAAUAGGAUAAAGGAAGAGGAUCAACAGGAGGGGAGUACAAGAGAAGGUCCUAGGGAAUGAAAUUGAAAUUGAACCAAUGAUAUGCACAUAUGUGUUGGGAAAAGUAUAAACGGCAGCCAUACCCCAGAGAAAAAAACCCAACAUGGCGCCUAAGGACCUGUUCUUCCUACCUUCUUCUUUUCUGCAGUGGCGUGAAAAAUUCCCGCCCGUGUGAACUCUCCCGCCGGCGCCAAUUUCAAAUCCUGCUGGUGGGGAACCUUAGCUCCAAUGAGAACUAAUUCCUGGGCUCCGGAGCUGAUAUCUGGAAGAACUUGCCAAUAAACGGGUUGCCUGCCAUUUAUCUAAGCCCUACCAUCUCCCCCUUAGUUCUAUAUAAGCACACAGCUUUUUGCAAUAAAAUUGGAAUUCUCCUGGCGAAGUGUCUUUGCGUGGGGAAUUCUUUCAAUAUGAAUAUAUAACAAUGAAUUCUCUAUUAUGCAUAGUUAUUAUGUGUCAAUAAUUU
Molecule: long non-coding RNA, 1145 nt
Filed under: Marmota monax (woodchuck)
Lineage: Eukaryota; Metazoa; Chordata; Mammalia; Rodentia; Sciuridae
Source: RNAcentral